UGUAAAACCUUUGACACAGUCCCCCACACCAUCCUUUUCUCUAAAUUAGAGAGAAGUGGAUCUGAUGAGUGAACUGGUUUGACAGCUGCAU
Sturnus vulgaris (Common starling) is the source of this 91-nucleotide non-coding RNA. The record is from RefSeq and is a predicted model, not a curated record. NCBI's taxonomy places the organism in Eukaryota, Metazoa, Chordata, Aves, Passeriformes, Sturnidae.